Chlorocebus sabaeus (green monkey) is the source of this 6828-nucleotide non-coding RNA. NCBI's taxonomy places the organism in Eukaryota, Metazoa, Chordata, Mammalia, Primates, Cercopithecidae. The record is from RefSeq and is a predicted model, not a curated record.
GACUCCGCCGCCGCCGCCGCCGCCACAACUUGGCCCAUUUAAACGGCCCCGGCGCGGCGGGCGGCGCGGGCUCCCGCGGGGGGUGCGUGACGGCCGACUCGGGGCAUCCGGCAGCGGCAGCGGGACAGGGCUGCGGCCCCCGGCGCUAUCCCGAGUACCGAGUCACUGGGAGCGGCUGGAAUCCGGGACUCCGCGCGGGCCUGGGAUGGGCUGGGCCGGUCGCGGACCGGGCUCCUCUCGGAGGGAGGGAGCUGGGGGCUGCUCGCCGCGGUGUGAGCCUGCGCCCGCGGCUCUGGGGCUUUGCACAGCGAAUCUGAUGGUGGGCGUUGGUGUCCGGGAGGGCGUGGUGGUCUCUGCACCUGCAGGGAACCAGGCUGUGGAUUUGUAGUGUGCCGCCUGGGCAGAGUGUUCUGUGAGUGACAGGGUAGCACCUUCCCGCGCGUUCGUGCCCCUUCCUGUGCACUUCACAAGAGUGAGUUCGCCUGAGCCACCGAGUUCCUUUUUAGUGUUUUGCAGGUGAGGAGGCUGAGACAGAAAGGUCAAGUAACGCUCCUGAAGUCACACAGCUGUUUCAAAUGCGCAGUGUCUCACGCCAGGACGCCAGGACGGCGCCAGGGCCAUGGGGUGGGGCAAGAGCUUCCUGUCACCCCACAGCCCCCAGCAGGAAGGCGUUAGGCAGGGUGGGCGUGGGGGACAGCGGGCUGGCAGGGUGCACGCCCUCCCACACCACCACCUCCUCCCAGACCAGCCCCCCAGAGCGUAAACCUGACCCGGGGUGACCACGCUGGGCUCCCUCACCUUAUCUCACCAGAGGCUUCUGCUGGCCCCCCAGCCUACCCGCGGAGUGAGAUCUGAGCCAGUGGUGCUCUGCUCAGACAAGGAGCAUGCCCGGAAGCCUCCCCUCCCAUCCUGGCCCCUUUCUGUGGGGGCUCCUUGGUCUUUUGGGGUCUGAGGGGCCAGGUGGGAGUGUGGGUGUGGCUGUGAGUGACCCUUCCUUACAUGGCCACCCUUGGUGCUAUCAACCUCUCUGCAUCCCUGACCCCAGACGUGGCUGCCAGCAAGUUCCUGUGCCUUCCUCCCCUGAAGUCUGUGUCUUCUCUCAGGUCCGAUGCCAUGUGGAAAGUCCACUCCUGGGGCCAGCUGGAGGCCAUGUGGACUGACCGUGAGCGCCCACUGUCUGCAGCCCUGACCCUACUGCCCCUGUGCAGGCUACUAGAUUCACCUGCACCUCACUCUCCUUCUAGGUUCGCCUGCACCUGACUCCCUGAUGCUCACACAGCGAUUUGGGGAGGGAGGCUGGGGAGGCGCAGGUCCGCAAGGCAGUGCCUCUCUGGGUCUGAGGCCCUUGGGCCAGGCUCUCCUCUGACCUGGGCCAGCAGAGGGGCCUGCUUUCCUUUCCAAGAGCCCUCCCCUGUUCACCGGUGUCUCACCAUGCUCAGGCCCGCAGUGCGGUUAAGGAGGGGCCUGGGGCUGGCCCUGGGUUUCUGGCUGGGUGUGGGAGCCCACCCGGGCCCUGCAGCCUAACCUCCAGCCCACAGUCUGGCUCCACCUGUCUCUGGAGGACCAGGGUGUCUUCCCGAAAAGACCCUGACUGGGUCCAAAGCUGGAGGCACCCCCCAUCCUCACCGUCCACUCCCUGAUGUUCUGGAGGCCCCUCCAGGGGCUGGAUGAGGAGGCCUUCCCCACCACCUCCUUGUCUUCCUGGGAAACAGGUACCUGUUCGGAGGCCACUUUCCCACAUGACCAGGCCUCCUCACCCCCAGCCUCAUCCUUCUCCGUGGGGCUGUGCCCCUUCCUUGGUCCUGUCCACUCACACACUCAUAUCCUGUGUCCACUCACACACACCUGUGUCCCAUGCCCACACCCGUGUCCGUGUCCAUGCUCACACCUGUUCUGUGUCCACUCCCACCCGUGUCCACUAGCACACUGUGUCCACUCCCACACCUGUAUCUCGUGUCCACUCUCACAUCUGUGUUGUGUCCACUCGCUCACACAUGUACUGUCCGCGCCCACUCACACAUGUGCUGUAUCCACUCGCUCACAGCUGUGUCUCGUGUCCACUGGUUCACACCUGUCCCGAGUUCACUCAUGCACCUGUGUCCCGUGUCCUGUGUUUGCUCACGCACUUGUGUGAUGUGUCCACUCACUCACCUAUGUCCGCUGGCUCACACCUCUCCCUUCUUCACUUGCGCACCUGUGUUGCGUGUCCUGUGUCUGCUUGCACAUCUGUGUGAUGUGGCCACUCGCUCACACCUGUCCCGUGUCCUCCACUCGCACACCUGUGUCCCGUGUCCACUCACACACCUGUCUUGGUCUGGGACACCUGGGUCCCAGUCUCCCCUGCACUCCUCAGGCCGGCGGCAGAGGCCAGAAGAAUGGAGUUUUGUUGCUAGAAUCAUCCUGAGCAAGGCAGGGACGUGGUGGUGUGGACUCCACUGCCCCUCCUCCUGCCCACCGAGCCCCGCCUGCCUGGGCCUUGGUGCUUCUGUCGCUGCUCCGGGUCCCCCUGCUGGGGCCCCUCCGACACUGGGCUGAGGCUGGAGCCGCUGCCUCCCGCCACCAGAGGGAGGAGGUCAUAAAUAACCCUGGGGCUGCAGGAGCAGACGGUGACCCCAGACGUCCUGGGGGAGUGUGGGGGCGCCAGGGGCCGCUGCCCCAGCCCACACGCCGCCUCCACCAUCCGGGAGUGCCCGCCCAGGCUCCCCAGCAUUUCUGUUAGAGCGCCUCUCAUCCAUCCCCUCAUCAAUCAGUCAACCAUUGAUUGAGCCCAGAUGUGGUACAGCCCCAGCCAGAGAGGACCCAGAGGUGGGGUGGGGAGGAGAGAGAUGGGGAAGCCGAGUCCGAGUCCGGGGCCACAGGUGCAGCCAGGAGGUGCAGGUGAGCAGUGCUCAGGCCAGCCCGUCAGCCUCAGUCCUGAGUUUACUUCUGGUGAUGGAGGGAGAUACGCGGAAAAGAUCCCGAAGCCCGCAGGUGUGGCACAGCUGACCUCGGGCCAAGGAUGCACAGCUGUGUGUGUGCCUGGCCUCCAGCAAGGGCACGCGUGCUCAGAAGCACAGGUGUGCCCACACCCUGCAUGCCUGUGUGUGGCGCAGCAGCUCCAGACUCACUCGCACGACACUCAGCACAGACAGACCCUCCCAUGGCCACAGGGACAAUGGUGCAGACAGGAUGUGCACUGCCCUCCAAGGCCGGUGCGCAACACAGACCCAGGGCCUGCGGGCACCCGCACCGCACAGACCCAGGCACACAUGAUCCCCAGCCAAGGUGGCCUGCCCAGUGCCAGGGCUCAGUCCCGGUGCUGUUGGAUGGAAAGGCUAAUGCAGGAGGUCAGGGGUUGUGGUAAAUCAGCUGCACUCCCUCAGAUGCUCCUGCACAAGCAGCCAGGACCUCAGGAAUGCACCUGCUCCUGGUCAGACAGGAGGAGCUGCUGCGCUGGAACCUGCCCGCGCCUUUGGGUGCCGUGAGCUGGCUGCGCACCACAUCGUUUUGAGGACAUAAGAAGGUGUUUCCAAGUCCAGUCUGUCCACCUACCUGAAUCUUUACCACUGAAAGAACAAAGGGGUGGGGCCCGAGGGACCCUUCCCUGCCCUCCCAUGGUGUGUGGUCAGGGAUGCUCCUGCAGACACACACAGGUGGGCUCUGACUGCCAGAUCACAGGGGUGGUGCCAUGGUCCUCACCUGCCGUGUCACCAGAGUGCUGACACGCACACCGGAGACAGUGCUAGGCCCGGCACAUCCCAGCCAAUUCCUCUGUAAAUGACGCAGAAGCCCCAGCACCUUGAGGCUGAGCAAAGGGAAGCAAUAGAAUUCUCCAGAGCCCCCAGGAAGCGGGAGGGUCUGUCCCAGUGAAUGCACUCGGCCAAUUCCUCCCUGUCCUCCCCCUGCCAACGCUGCCAGCCUGCAGCCUGGACCUGGCCUGGGUUGUGGAGGGGAUCAGAGGAUGCAGCAGCCGCCUGCUGGGUGCACGUGGGCCUAGGUGGUCCUUAGCCCUCAGCCCUUAUGGCAGGAGCCCCCGAAGCACUGCUGUGGCACCCUCUCUGACAUCGGGCCAGGGAGACGCUGGGAGCCGGGUGCAGAGCCAGGGCCCAGCACGCAGGCCUUGGGCUCUGGCCCGUCCCCCACAUCUGGAAUGUGCCAGCAGGGCCCAGUGUGAGAGAAGAGCGGAUCCCUACGUGAGUAAGGGUGGAGGGAUGGUGCCUCUGCCGUGGCCACGGUGCCGCCGUCCACAUCAGCUCACUCUCAGCACAGAUCCUGUGUGAAGGCCUCAGGGGCCACGAUCCUCGUUCUGAGGGCCCUAGCAGGUCGGGCUCCUGCUGUGCUGGCUCCACAUUGACUAGCUGGUGGGCUUGGCAGGUCUGUGAUCACAGAGAGACCAGAACCCGCAUAACAGGCCCGAUGAGGAUGCCAGGCUGCACUGACCCCCGAGCUUCAGAGGAGAGGGGCACCAGCUGGGAGCCCUGCACAGACAUCCUCAGGUGCAAGAAGCCGGAGCCCAGGGCAGCUGGGGAGGGGCGGGGUGUGGUGGCUGGAAGUUGCUGUUCUCAGACCCAGCUCUGAGACACUUUCCAACUGCAUGGGGGGUCCAGGCUGGACCCCAGAUGUGACUGUGUAUGUGCUGGGAUGGGAGCCCCCUGAGAGCAGGGCUUUUGUUAAUUCACCAACAAUCUCACACGCCUGGCAUGAGACAGGUGCUCAGGCAGUGAAGACCACAUACAUGGGGUCCUCCACUGUGUCCAGGGGAGGGUGGGCCCUGCUCGCAGCCAGACUGGGUAUAGCCCUGGGUGGGCUCUGGGGUUCGCCCAGGGCAGCUCAGCCUCCUAGCCCUGGGCAGCCCUGCUGCCUGCCUGCUCCCUCCACUCCUACCACCUGCCCAGGUGGGACUCUGCCUGCCUUCUUGUCCCCGGUGCUUUGUAGGAGUUGGACCACAGGUAUCCUCUUCAUCAGAGGGAGAAGAGCUCACAACCUGGGAGAACUCCAGGCCUGGCCCAGUGAAGACAUCCUUAUCUUCAGCAGACGUUGCCCAGUGCAAAGGGAGGCCAGCCUCAGGAGGCACGGACGGUGGCGUGGCAUCCGUCCGAAGGCCCUGCCUGCAGCACGGGAUGCCACAGAGGUCCCCUGUGACAGAGCCUCAUGGGGCAGGCAGGGGUCGCAGCUGCUCCUGCGUGAAGAGGCAGAUGCAAACCCAUGGUGUGGCCUCUGGGGUCCCACAUCCCAGGUAGAGAGUGACCCAGGUCGCUGGCGUCUGUGCCAUCUCUGCUCCACUGACCACUCAUGGGGGUCCUGGAGAUCCUGACACCAGUGGCCGGGGAGCAGCAGCUCAGGCACAGGCCCCAGUGCACACUCAGAUCCCAUGGUGUGUGCACACGGCCUUGCCCCAAGGCCUGGGUGCUGUAUGAGGGCCAGGACGCUAACACAGCGGAGGAUACCCACGCGUGAGCUGCGCUGGGUUUCCUUGUACCCAAACGGGGUAUGCAGGGUUCCACUGUGCAGUUGCUGUGUAUUUUAGGAUCUCAUCCCCAUGUGCCCCAGCAGGACCACAGCUGUGACCGGCUGCUGCAGAAGGGUCCAGCUCCAGACUGACUUUCUGAGGUCAUGGACGGACCCUCACCCCAUCCAAGGUGAUGUCCUGAACUCCCAGUGUGUUCCCCAGAGGGCAGGGUGAGUGCGUGGCAUCCUUUUGGCGGGCAUGGGCGCCUCUGUGGACCUGGCGUGAGGCUUCUCUGUUUCUGAGUCUCCUAAUGGACCAUCUGUCUUCUGUGUGGCUGCUGAGGGAUCACACUGGGGUGACCCUGCAGGUGGCUGAAUGAGAACAGGAGCCCCACACUGCACAGCCCUGCAUGACCGCGGGGGUGGCCCCAGAAGCGGGUGGGCGAGGCUGGGCGGCAGGGAUUGGCUGAGAUCCUAUGAAGAGCCCAAGGGCAGCGGCCAGGCUUGAGCCCAAGGUGCAGGGGAAGGCGGCAAUGCCAGGGUCCCUUUCUUCACCAGGUACCUGGGGCCCAGCCUGGGCGGCAGGAGGGACUCAGCCCCUCGCCCAGGCAGGAAGGCUCCCAAGCAGAGGCCCCUCCCUCGUGCACUCCCCAGCCCCCACCUGCGGCACUGGGACUGGGACUAAUAAAACACCCACCUCGGAAGACAGCUUUAUCUUGUUGAUCGGAAGUCUGCCAGCCCAAUUUAUGAUGGAACAUAAGAUCUCCAAAUCUGAAUUUAUGCGCUGUAGCGUAACGAGAGGUCAAUGAGAUUAAACGGGGGCUCAGGAGAGGACCCGCGUCAGGCUCACUUGAGGCGCUGCACAGAAAACCACAGCCAGAGCCCCUGGGCCAAGACCAGGCAAGACCAGAAAAGGAGGGGGCAGGUGGGAGACCAGCCUGGGGCUCCAGGGAAGGCCACGGGAUGGAGGUAGGAGAGCCAGCUGGCCUGGGGCAACCCUGGGAUGGCUCCUGGAUGGAGGAGAGCAGAGGGGUGAUGAGGGCUCCCUCAGGGCUGGGGAGCCUUCUCCUGGUCUCAGACCCACCCCCCUUCAGCUGCCAAACCCUGGGCGCCCCUGAUUCUGAGGACAGUUGGGAGCCUGCCCUGAGGCAGGUUCAAGGACAGAGCUCUGACCCUGGCCCAGGGCCGCUUUGGUGCCCAUGAACUCGGCUUCUGGCUCCGAGCAGUUCCCUGCACCCCUUCCUGAGCCCUCUGUCCUCUGGAACCCAUGGGUAGGGCGAGGGACCAGUGCUCGCUCUGGGUGGGGGCCUGGGUGCCCAGCCAGCACGAGGCUGAGCUUAGGGCAGACCCUGACUUCAGAAUUUAUACAAAUAAACGCAAUGAAAAGUGCUGGCAGCCUGA